This 254-nucleotide ribosomal RNA is filed under the name uncultured bacterium. RNAcentral's name for it is "partial 16S ribosomal RNA". It matches the Rfam family "Bacterial small subunit ribosomal RNA", at positions 524 to 777 of the family's 1533-position model. The record is from RNAcentral.
UACGAAGGGGGCUAGCGUUGCUCGGAAUUACUGGGCGUAAAGCGCACGUAGGCGGCUCUUUAAGUCGGGGUGAAAUCCUGGAGCUCAACUCCAGAACUGCCUUCGAUACUGGAGAGCUUGAGUUCGGGAGAGGUGAGUGGAACUGCGAGUGUAGAGGUGAAAUUCGUAGAUAUUCGCAAGAACACCAGUGGCGAAGGCGGCUCACUGGCCCGGUACUGACGCUGAGGUGCGAAAGCCGUGGGGAGCAAACAGGG